This 431-nucleotide long non-coding RNA is filed under the name Scleropages formosus (Asian bonytongue). RNAcentral describes it as "lncRNA (ENSSFOG00015029948.1)". The record is from RNAcentral. Lineage: Eukaryota; Metazoa; Chordata; Actinopteri; Osteoglossiformes; Osteoglossidae.
GAAAAUGUCAGAAAGCUUGCAGACGAACAAGGUCAGUCUGAAAGGCAAAAACACAACCCAAACGGGAGUCGGUGAGCAGGGGCCACAUCGAACACAGAUGUCACACUGUGCCGCUGAGGGCUGUGAUCACAGGUGUCCAAUCAAGUUUUGUGAAGCGGGGGCCCAGGGGAAGGAGGGACCUUGGAGGAGCAGGACCGCAACAGAGCCGGGCUCGCAGCAGGUGAUUGUGACAAUAGUAAUAUCUGCGGAGGAAAUGAGUAUCAGGAGUGAGGCGCCAAAACACAUGCAGUGCUAAUCAAUGGAUUUGUGUGCGGCUAUUCGAUGGAGAGAGGCCAAGCACACAAACACGCUGGAGAGCAAUCAUCCAAAGGACUUUUUUGUUCAGAUUCCGCUUUUCAUCAAUACAUACCCUCCCCACGGUGAGAGUGAAG